UCCGGAGGGGGCUAUCGUUGUUCGGAAUUACUGGGCGUAAAGCGCACGUAGGCAGAUUGUUAAGUCGGGGGUGAAAUCCCGGGGCUCAACCCCGGAAUGGCCUCCGAUACUGGCAAUCUUGAGGUCGGGAGAGGUGAGUGGAAUGGCGAGUGUAGAGGUGAAAUUCGUAGAUAUUCGCCGGAACACCAGUGGCGAAGGCGGCUCACUGGCCCGAUACUGACGCUGAGGUGCGACAGCGUGGGGAGUAAACAGG
This 253-nucleotide ribosomal RNA is filed under the name uncultured bacterium. Its description in RNAcentral is "partial 16S ribosomal RNA". It matches the Rfam family "Bacterial small subunit ribosomal RNA", at positions 524 to 776 of the family's 1533-position model. The record is from RNAcentral.